AAUCAAAUACCUAAUCAUCUUUUAUUUCAAAUAGUAUAAUUAAUUAAGAAAAAACUUCAAAAAUCCCCCACGUGGUUUCGUAUUUUUUACUUUAGUAUCAUGUGGUUUAAAAUAUAUCAAUUUGCUCCCCUGUGAUUUUAUUUUUCUCUUUUUAAUAUCAAUGUUAUUAUUUUUUUCUUAAAAUAGUGACAAAGUUAAAAUUAAAGGAUACUAAAGUAAAUAUUCGAUAAAUCUAGAUAGGUAUCUGAAGUUUUUUUGUAUAUAAUUUAACGAAAUAUUAAGAAAAAAACUGUCAAAAAGAUAAAAAUAAAAUCACAUGAGGGUAAAUUGAUACACUUUAAACCACAGAAUACUAAAGUGAGAAAGUACGAAACCACAGGAGACUUGUAAAGUUUUCCCAUUAAUUAACUAUAAAUCCAUCAUUUUAAUUAUAAAAUUCCUAUAAAAUAUUAUUAAAAUGUUAUAAAUUAUUAAC
Molecule: long non-coding RNA, 475 nt
Filed under: Ananas comosus (pineapple)
Lineage: Eukaryota; Viridiplantae; Streptophyta; Magnoliopsida; Poales; Bromeliaceae
Description: long non-coding RNA (ACOM_LNC011360)
Source: RNAcentral